UUUUAUGAGAGUUUGAUCCUGGCUCAGGACGAACGCUGGCGGCGUGCCUAAUACAUGCAAGUCGAACGCUUCUUUUUCCACUGGAGCUUGCUCCACCGGAAAAAGAGGAGUGGCGAACGGGUGAGUAACACGUGGGUAACCUGCCCAUCAGAAGGGGAUAACACUUGGAAACAGGUGCUAAUACCGUAUAACAAUCAAAACCGCAUGGUUUUGAUUUGAAAGGCGCUUUCGGGU
This 234-nucleotide ribosomal RNA is filed under the name Enterococcus faecium. Its description in RNAcentral is "partial 16S ribosomal RNA". It matches the Rfam family "Bacterial small subunit ribosomal RNA", at positions 1 to 222 of the family's 1533-position model. The record is from RNAcentral. Lineage: Bacteria; Bacillati; Bacillota; Bacilli; Lactobacillales; Enterococcaceae.